CUCCAGAGACACCUCCAGCAGCACAGUGUCCUUACAAGGGAGGAGCCUGCAGACUGAAGACACAGCUGUGUACUACUGUGUACGACAAUCACAGUGAGAUGAAGGGGGCUUAGAACUCAAUCCAGGCAGCAUAGGGCACCAGGCCAGGAUACAUCCUAGACGGGAUGCCUAAAAGCACGUCUAUGGACAUCAGAGAACCCAGUGGAAAGAGGUGGGAUUCAACACACAGUAUUGGAGGUUUGAGAAAAUAAGGUUACCGACAAAGGAUAAGAUUUUAGAUGUAAAACAAUGUUUUUUAACUUUUGUUUUGCCACAUGUGGUACUAAGGCUGAAGUAAAUACACAAAAUGGAGCAGGAGUAUUGCUAGGAUCUUAAGACACCAGGGUCUCAGCCCAGAGACCUGACCUGUCUGAGGGUCAUACUGAGUUCUCUCUCUCUCUCUCUGAUGUUAUCAGCACUGCAGCACUGCAGAGGUUUUGGGAAACGCAGCCCUGGACUGGCACUGCUGUGAUGUAUGAGAUUCUCAGAAUGAGAGCCUGGGCUUUAAAGAUCUGAGCUAAACAAUCAUUCGGGACUCAUUUGGAUUCAUUUGGGGCUUCAGUCCGGAAUCCCCCAGACUUGUGAUGCAUCUGUAAUGGACAUUAAGAUAAGACAGCGACAACUACUGCUCUGGGUUAUAUGGAUUUGGUUUGGGUAUAAUCAUGUGUCGUAUGUGUCAAAUAUAGUCUAAUAAAUCACUGAAUCAGUAAGUAUUUAUGAAAAUAAACAUGCAAUUUCAACUGCAAAUCUUUUGAAAUUAUGUUGAAAAACCUGAGUAUAUGAAGUUAUAAGUCCCUGUACAAUAGUACAGAUCCUGUUUUCUCAUAUGAGUCCCUGUAUAAUAGUACAGAUCCUGUUUCUCAUAUUAGUCCCUAUAUAAUAGUACAGAUCCUGUUUCUCAUAUGAGUCCCUGUAUAAUAGUACAGAUCCUGUUUCUCAUAUGAGUCCCUGUAUAAUAGUUCAGAUCCUGUUUCUCAUAUGAGAUCCCGCACUACCCUGACUCUGCCAUUUACCUUCAGUAUAUCUGCCCAGCCAGUGAGGAGGAGUUCAUGCAAAUUCUGACAUCAUCAUCAUAUAUUUAUCUCUCUGCACUGAGUGGUGACUGGAUCUGAAUCUGUCAGUCAUGGCAUCUUUAACGAGGUUCCCAGUAGUUCUGAUGGUUAUAUACUUAACAGGUGUUGAUACACAGACUCUGGCUGAAUCUGAAUCAGCAGUUAAAAAACCUGGAGAAUCACACAGACUGACAUGUACAGCCUCUGGGUUCACUUUUAGUAGCUACUGGAUGAGCUGGAUCAGACAGGCUCCUGGGAAGGG
Brienomyrus brachyistius is the source of this 1353-nucleotide long non-coding RNA. RefSeq lists it as uncharacterized. Lineage: Eukaryota; Metazoa; Chordata; Actinopteri; Osteoglossiformes; Mormyridae. The record is from RefSeq and is a predicted model, not a curated record. The transcript has 3 exons.